This is a long non-coding RNA of Cyprinus carpio (common carp), 992 nucleotides long. RefSeq lists it as uncharacterized. Lineage: Eukaryota; Metazoa; Chordata; Actinopteri; Cypriniformes; Cyprinidae. The transcript is spliced from 4 exons. The record is from RefSeq and is a predicted model, not a curated record.
AGUCAAGCAGAGGAAGAGGAUGAAUCCCAAAAGGUCAUCAGCAAAGCCACUAUGGAGAAUACAGCAUGAAAACCUGAAAUGCAUUAAGCAGGAAGGCACUCUCCUUCAGCUGGUGGGGGUAAAACCUCUCAUCUUCAAUAAUGAAUUUUGACACAAUUAGUAUGCCAUUUCAAUUAUACAAUUGUAACAAUGGCUGGAGAGGACUCCUGGACUGGAAAAGGAUGGAUUUAAUUUCUGGGGAAUACUGCAAGCCAACAUCGAAGAAGGUCUCAAGAUGGAGAAACACAAACUUGAAAAAACGGAAGAUUCUGAGGCGAAGGAGUCUCAAACAGGAGAACAAACAGACUGAGGUCUUCACCGCCCUGUUUGAUCCAAAACACCAUGAGCAUCUUUUCAGCAAAGUAUGCUUCCCUCUCGCACAUAACAAUCAAGAAUCCUGAUGUCAUUUACCUCUAUGAAGGCCGAACGAACCAGCGCAGCUGUCAGAUUCUUCGCAGAUUUACAGUAAGCCUCCACCAUUAAAACCUGAUUAUUACCAGAUGUUUUCCCCCCUUUUUCCUCCCAGUCUUAGGGUACAAAAUGAUUUUUUUCUAGUUCUUUCUUUCAUGGAAGAAAAAAGCUAAGAGAAUGAGAUCAGUGGAAAAAGCUUGCUGAGCUCUGGCCAAACAUUAGACUCCUGUAAAUAGAAUUUUCAAGGAGAAAUGAAUCCCUUCUUUUGGGGGAAAAACACACCCAUUCCCCUUCAGUUGCCACCAGGCAACUAUUUUGAUCCAAAACAUACAGUAAACAUCCCAUUUCACACUUUCACCCUCCCUCUCUGAAGCAUAAUCAUGAUAUUACCACAUUUUUUGCACAUACAGUAGUAUCUUAUAAUACCUUGUAAACAUUAUUUAGUACCAUGGUACCACCACAGUACUUUUUUUUGUAAAGAGCCAUGACUAGGUUUGCCCAAAGACCACCCUGAUCUCCCUUAUGUGACGUUCCAGCUCAUG